GGACAUGGAGUCCUAAGUAACUGAAAUUAAAGCCCGAUAAAAAGAGACCGAAUACGAUUCCUGUAUUCGGUCCAGGGAAAUGGCUCUUGGGAGAGAGCCGUGCGCUAAAAGUUGGCAUUAAUGCAGGCUAAGUUACCCUGCCAUUUAAGAAUAGAUGACAGCGCCAGGUUUUCCAGUCCGCGACUAAAGUGGCCGGAAAAAAAGGACGUUUGUUACGCAUCCAAACGCAAAAACCGCAAGUUCUCGUGUGA
Molecule: small RNA, 251 nt
Filed under: Citrobacter freundii
Lineage: Bacteria; Pseudomonadati; Pseudomonadota; Gammaproteobacteria; Enterobacterales; Enterobacteriaceae
Source: RNAcentral